AUUGAACGCUGGCGGCAUGCCUUACACAUGCAAGUCGAACGGUAACAGGUCUUCGGAUGCUGACGAGUGGCGAACGGGUGAGUAAUACAUCGGAACGUGCCCAGACGUGGGGGAUAACGAGGCGAAAGCUUUGCUAAUACCGCAUACGAUCUAAGGAUGAAAGCAGGGGACCGCAAGGCCUUGCGCGUCUGGAGCGGCCGAUGGCAGAUUAGGUAGUUGGUGGGAUAAAAGCUUACCAAGCCGACGAUCUGUAGCUGGUCUGAGAGGACGACCAGCCACACUGGGACUGAGACACGGCCCAGACUCCUACGGGAGGCAGCAGUGGGGAAUUUUGGACAAUGGGCGAAAGCCUGAUCCAGCAAUGCCGCGUGCAGGAUGAAGGCCUUCGGGUUGUAAACUGCUUUUGUACGGAACGAAAAGGCUCUGGCUAAUACCUGGGGCACAUGACGGUACCGUAAGAAUAAGCACCGGCUAACUACGUG
This 482-nucleotide ribosomal RNA is filed under the name uncultured bacterium. RNAcentral's name for it is "partial 16S ribosomal RNA". It matches the Rfam family "Bacterial small subunit ribosomal RNA", at positions 30 to 507 of the family's 1533-position model. The record is from RNAcentral.